This 249-nucleotide long non-coding RNA is filed under the name Capsella rubella. RNAcentral describes it as "long non-coding RNA (CRUB_LNC000800)". Lineage: Eukaryota; Viridiplantae; Streptophyta; Magnoliopsida; Brassicales; Brassicaceae. The record is from RNAcentral.
UUUUUUCUAGCAUCAAUCUCAGUGUAUCAUCGAAAUUUUCAUUGCUUUUAAAUUUUUUUAUUUAUGAAAAAAUGAUAUCAACCUUGAAAUCUACUAUAGUGUGAUCGUUGUUUUGUUCUUUUAGGAGAUAACUUCUCCGUUUCAUCAAAACACAUACUAAACCUAACAUUUUACCAAGUUCUACGUGAGACAAGAAUCUACUAAGAUUUUUGAAUAAAUCACAAGAUUAUGUACAGGGGCGGAUCUAGG